RNAcentral lists this ribosomal RNA (454 nucleotides) under uncultured bacterium. RNAcentral's name for it is "bacterial SSU rRNA". It matches the Rfam family "Bacterial small subunit ribosomal RNA", at positions 8 to 473 of the family's 1533-position model. The record is from RNAcentral.
AGAGUUUGAUCCUGGCUCAGAUUGAACGCGGCGGCAUGCUUUACACUGCAAGUCGAACGGUAGACCCUUUCGGGGGUUGAGAGUGGCGAACGGUGAGUAAUGCAUCGGAACGUACCCAGUCGUGGGGGAUAACGUAGCGAAAGUUACGCUAAUACCGCUACGUCCUGAGGGAGAAAGCGGGGGACCGUAAGGCCUCGCGCGAUUGGAGCGGCCGAUGUCAGAUUAGCUAGUUGGUGGGGUAAAGGCCUACCAAGGCGACGAUCUGUAGCGGGUCUGAGAGGAUGAUCCGCCACACUGGGACUGAGACACGGCCCAGACUCCUACGGGAGGCAGCAGUGGGGAAUUUUGGACAAUGGGCGCAAGCCUGAUCCAGCCAUGCCGCGUGCGGGAAGAAGGCCUUCGGGUUGUAAACCGCUUUCGGACGGAAAGAACAGGAUUAGAUACCCUGGUAGUC